RNAcentral lists this ribosomal RNA (387 nucleotides) under uncultured bacterium. RNAcentral describes it as "bacterial SSU rRNA". It matches the Rfam family "Bacterial small subunit ribosomal RNA", at positions 29 to 417 of the family's 1533-position model. The record is from RNAcentral.
AUUAAACGCUGGCGGCAUGCCUUACACAUGCAAGUCGAACGGCAGCACGGGGGCAGCCCUGGUGGUGAGUGGCGAACGGGUGAGUAAAGCAUCGGAACGUGCCCUGGAGUGGGGGAUAACGUAGCGAAAGUUACGCUAAUACCGCAUAUUCUGUGAGCAGGAAAGCAGGGGAUCGCAAGACCUUGCGCUCUGGGAGCGGCCGAUGUCGGAUUAGCUAGUUGGUGGGGUAAAGGCCUACCAAGGCGACGAUCCGUAGCGGGUCUGAGAGGAUGAUCCGCCACACUGGGACUGAGACACGGCCCAGACUCCUACGGGAGGCAGCAGUGGGGAAUUUUGGACAAUGGGCGAAAGCCUGAUCCAGCCAUGCCGCGUGAGUGAAGAAGGCCU